Molecule: long non-coding RNA, 940 nt
Organism: Trematomus bernacchii (emerald rockcod)
Lineage: Eukaryota; Metazoa; Chordata; Actinopteri; Perciformes; Nototheniidae
Exons: 3
Source: RefSeq, a predicted model, not a curated record
UGGUUCAUAUCCAGCAUGCAUUAGCUAAGAAACGAUAAGGAUGUUGGUGUGUUAGUUAAUGUAAAGAAAUGUAUGUGUGCUCAUGUGCAGACGAUAUAUAUAGUUUGUUAAUUGGAUAAUUCAUAUCCUGCAAGGCUCCUAAAGACUUCAUGAGAUAAUGACCUUUUGACAUCUGGAACUUACAUGUUGCUCUGAUGUUGGUGCGUUCAAGUUUAGGAGAACUGACAAUGUGUGUGCGUUAAACAUGAUUAGGGAACAUGUUCGUGUGUCAUUUAGAAAACCUAUAUAAACCCUGUGUUUUCUUGUGUUCGGGGGACCAUUUCUGCGAUUGGUUGCUCUUGAAGCAAGGUAAUGUUUCCCCAUUGUUGUUUGGUGGUGCGCAACUAAAUAAUAAUGAUUAAUCUCAACUAUUCCUGUGUUUGUGUUUCAUUGAUUCCUCUCUGUUUCAUUCUUUCAUGUUGUGUGAGUACUUGGAUCGCCACAACAUUUUGGAGGUCCCACCGAGAUUGCCAAUGCUGGAAGUUGCUGUGUUCCUUCUCUGGGGGUCUCAACUCCCCUUAGCCAGGCAGCCCUGAGAUGGCUGUGGUAAACUCAAAGAAUUGAGAAACCAGACUUGGGACUUCCACAGAAGAAAUACCAACUCACACGACCCACCUGGAGAAGGAGCGCUGAGAGCAGCAUGGAGGAGAACAAAGAGACCCCUGGAGCACAGAAACUGAAAGGAAGAGAGAGACGUCACGGCUGUCAGCAAUGUGACAAAUCCUUUACAAGAUCUGUAACUUUAAAGCGCCACCUGCGUAUUCACACGGGAGAAAACCCGUACAGCUGUGAAGAGUGUGGGAAAACGUUCACUAGAUCAGAUGCUCUCAAAACACAUCACCGUAUUCACACUGGAGAAAAACCGUACAGCUGUGAAGAGUGUGGGACAACUUUCACUACA